Long non-coding RNA from Mauremys mutica (yellowpond turtle), 558 nucleotides. RefSeq lists it as uncharacterized. Lineage: Eukaryota; Metazoa; Chordata; Testudines; Geoemydidae. The transcript has 3 exons. The record is from RefSeq and is a predicted model, not a curated record.
UAGAUUCCCCUCCCCUCCCAGAGCUGGGGAGAGAAGCCAGGAGUCCUGGCUCCCAGCCUGCCCCCCGCAACCACUAGGCGCCACUGCCCUCCCGCGCCGGUCUCUGGGGCUGAUGCCAUGGGGGGCUGGGGGCUCGGGGCUGGGGCCAGCCGGGCGCUGCCGAUCCGCCCCCGGGGGGGGGAGGAGAGAGUUAACCACAGGGCCGGCUGCUCCUUGGAUGCCAGCCCAGCUCUGUUCUUGUUACCCACAAUCCUUCAUUCCUCCCCCCCCCCCUUCUCUGGCACCGACCGGAUCCCUGGCACCGAGCUCGGCCGCGCCCGGGACCCAGCCGGAGCCCUCGGGCCCAUCCUGGGGAGAUUUCAGGUUAAUUGAACAGCGCUGGAACAUAAUUUAAUAUUGAGUGAGUUUUUAAUUAUUUUUUUACAUUUAAUUAGCAAUGCUUAAACAUAGUUUAUAUUACUAUAGAGCAUGUUUAUCCGUUAGAAUACAUUUGUAAUAUAAAACCAAAAAUGAAAUAUAGGAUUAUAUUAUAUUAUAUUUAUUAACUAUCCUUAAACA